CCAGUCCCAGCAGACAAAAC
This 20-nucleotide microRNA is filed under the name Macacine gammaherpesvirus 4 (Rhesus lymphocryptovirus). RNAcentral describes it as "rlcv-miR-rL1-29-5p". Its record names the gene rlcv-miR-rL1-29-5p. The record is from miRBase by way of RNAcentral. Lineage: Duplodnaviria; Heunggongvirae; Peploviricota; Herviviricetes; Herpesvirales; Orthoherpesviridae.